Molecule: long non-coding RNA, 528 nt
Organism: Hypanus sabinus (Atlantic stingray)
Lineage: Eukaryota; Metazoa; Chordata; Chondrichthyes; Myliobatiformes; Dasyatidae
Exons: 3
Source: RefSeq, a predicted model, not a curated record
CAACUCCUUGAUAAAGCAAUAACAAUGAGGGCUGUGUCUAAUGUUAGUGAAAUGUGAAUACCAGUGUAAGGUUUCUGAAUGGAGCCAGUCUUCUGGCUCUGGCAUCUAUUUGGUAAGGUCAGGACAGGCUUCUGGCUGUGGCAUCUAUUUGGUAAAAGGUGUUGGGGGUUCUAUCCAAAUCCUGAUCUGCAUGUGGCACUCAAAAUGCAUUUUCUUUUACGGCGGAUGAUUUCCCGUUCCUGAAGCUCACUGGUCAACCAUUUUCCAACAUUCUCCAGGCACAGCUUGGAAGCUGGUACCUCCAGGGUGCGGCCCCUUGCAGCCCGGUGGAUGAAAGAUUCCAGGGCGGUGUCGCUGACUGAAGCAUCGCGGGAGCUGGAAUAUCAGGAUUUCGCUGUGGCGGAUGUAUGGACAAGUGGCUGCAGUCACCCUCUCUUUCACUCAAUGGGGAGAGAAUUUGCUGCUGAUUCUCAAGUUGGGAAUCUUGGAAUAAAAAGCGACACGCCAACCUGUAAUACCGUAGCAGCG